RNAcentral lists this ribosomal RNA (3112 nucleotides) under Propionibacteriales bacterium. RNAcentral's name for it is "23S ribosomal RNA". It matches the Rfam family "Bacterial large subunit ribosomal RNA". The record is from RNAcentral. Lineage: Bacteria; Bacillati; Actinomycetota; Actinomycetes; Propionibacteriales.
GUGACAAGCUACUAAGGGCAUAUGGUGGAUGCCUUGGCACCAAGAGCCGAAGAAGGUCGUAGGAGCCUGCGAUAAGCCCCGGGAAGUUGGCAACCGAGCUGUGAUCCGGGGAUGACCGAAUGGGGAAACCCAGCUGGAGUCAUGUCCAGUUACCGACGCCUGAACACAUAGGGCGAUCGGAGGGAACGUGGGGAAGUGAAACAUCUCAGUACCCACAGGAAGAGAAAACAACCGUGAUUCCGUAAGUAGUGGCGAGCGAACGCGGAAGAGGCUAAACCGCACAGGUGUGACAGCCGGCAGGCGUUGCCUGUGUGGGGUUGUGGGGCCGCUUGGUUGGAUCUGCCGAUCCAACAGAGAGUAAGAAACCGUUGCUGAAGUCGAACAGUGCUGGAAAGCCUGGGCGCAGAGGGUGAUACCCCCGUACACGAAAGGCAACGGCUCUCGAGCGUUACCCCGAGUAAUACGGAACCCCUGAAAUUCCGUAUGAAUCCGUCGGGACCACCCGAUAAGCCUAAAUACUCCUUGGUGACCGAUAGCGGACAAGUACCGUGAGGGAAAGGUGAAAAGUACCCCAGGCGGGGAGUGAAAUAGUACCUGAAACCAUAUGCCUACAAACCGUUGGAGCAGUUCUUCGGAACUGUGACAGCGUGCCUUUUGAAGAAUGAGCCUGCGAGUUAGUGGUACGUGGCGAGGUUAACCCGGGUGGGGAAGCCGUAGCGAAAGCGAGUCCAAAUAGGGCGAUUCAGUCGCGUGCUCUAGACCCGAAGCGGAGUGAUCUACCCAUGGGCAGGGUGAAGCGCCGGUAAGACGACGUGGAGGCCCGAACCCACCAGGGUUGAAAACCUGGGGGAUGACCUGUGGGUAGGGGUGAAAGGCCAAUCAAACUCCGUAAUAGCUGGUUCUCCCCGAAAUGCAUUUAGGUGCAGCGUCGCGUGUUUCUUACCGGAGGUAGAGCACUGGAUGGUCUAGGGGGCCUAUCAGCUUACCGAAAUCAGCCAAACUACGAAUGCCGGUAAGUGAGAGCGCGGCAGUGAGACUGCGGGGGAUAAGCUCCGUGGUCGAGAGGGAAACAGCCCAGAUCAUCAGCUAAGGCCCCUAAGCGAUUGCUAAGUGGAAAAGGAUGUGAAGUCGCAGAGACAACCAGGAGGUUGGCUUAGAAGCAGCCACCCUUGAAAGAGUGCGUAAUAGCUCACUGGUCAAGUAAUUUUGCGCCGACAAUGUAGCGGGGCUCAAGCAAUCCGCCGAAGCUAUGACAUUUACACAUGUACUCGGCGUCACUUCGGUGACGUCCAGGUGUGUGGAUGGGUAGGGGAGCGUCGUGUGGCGAGAGAAGCGGCGGAGUGAUCCAGCCGUGGAUGCCACACGAGUGAGAAUGCAGGCAUGAGUAGCGAAAGAAGGGUGAGAAACCCUUCCGCCGAAUGACCAAGGGUUCCAGGGUCAAGCUAAUCUGCCCUGGGUAAGUCGGGACCUAAGGCGAGGCCGAGAGGCGUAGUCGAUGGACAACGGGUUGAUAUUCCCGUACCGGUUCUGGCGCGACCAUGACGAACCCAGCGAUGCUAAGUGCCCGAAUCCGAUGAGGUCUUCGGACCGAAUUGGAGGAACGCACGACCCAAGCUGGUAGUAGUCAAGCGAUGGGGUGACGCAGGAAGGUAGCCCAACCACGGCGAUGGUUGUCCGUGGGUAAGGCCGCAGGGCUGGCAUAGGUAAAUCCGUGCCAACAAGCCCGAGAGCUGACACCGAGCCGACUUAGGCGAAGUGGGUGAUCCUAUGCUGUCGAGAAAAGCCUCUAGCGAGCUCCAGAGCCGCCCGUACCCCAAACCGACUCAGGUGGUCAGGUAGAGAAUACCAAGGCGAUCGAGAUAACCAUGGUUAAGGAACUCGGCAAAAUACCCCCGUAACUUCGGGAGAAGGGGGGCCUGAACCGUGAAGGCACUAGCUGCCGGCAGCGGUGAAGGCCGCAGAGACCAGGCCCAAGCGACUGUUUACUAAAAACACAGGUCCGUGCUAAGUCGAAAGACGAUGUAUACGGACUGACGCCUGCCCGGUGCUGGAACGUUAAGGGGACGUGUUAGUGGACUUCGGUCCGCGAAGCGCUGAACUUAAGCGCCAGUAAACGGCGGUGGUAACUAUAACCAUCCUAAGGUAGCGAAAUUCCUUGUCGGGUAAGUUCCGACCUGCACGAAUGGCGUAACGACUCGGGCGCUGUCUCAACCAUGGACUCGGCGAAAUUGCACUACGAGUAAAGAUGCUCGUUACGCGCGGCAGGACGGAAAGACCCCGGGACCUUUACUACAGCUUGGUAUUGGUGUUUGGUUCGGCUUGUGUAGGAUAGGUGGGAGACUUUGAAGCAUGGACGCCAGUUCGUGUGGAGUCAACGUUGAAAUACCACUCUGGUCGUACUAGAUAUCUAACCUAGGUCCGUGAUCCGGAUCAGGGACAGUGCCUGGUGGGUAGUUUAACUGGGGCGGUUGCCUCCUAAAAGGUAACGGAGGCGCCCAAAGGUUCCCUCAGCCUGGUUGGCAAUCAGGUGUUGAGUGCAAGUGCACAAGGGAGCUUGACUGUGAGAGAGACAUCUCAAGCAGGGACGAAAGUCGGGACUAGUGAUCCGGCGCUGGCAUGUGGAAGCGGCGUCGCUCAACGGAUAAAAGGUACCCCGGGGAUAACAGGCUGAUCCUCCCCAAGAGUCCAUAUCGACGGGAUGGUUUGGCACCUCGAUGUCGGCUCGUCGCAUCCUGGGGCCGGAGUAGGUCCCAAGGGUUGGGCUGUUCGCCCAUUAAAGCGGCACGCGAGCUGGGUUUAGAACGUCGUGAGACAGUUCGGUCCCUAUCCGCCGCGCGCGCAGGAAACUUGAGAAGGCCUGUCCCUAGUACGAGAGGACCGGGAUGGACGAACCUCUGGUGUGCCAGUUGUUUCGCCAGAAGCACGGCUGGUUAGCUACGUUCGGCAGUGAUAACCGCUGAAAGCAUCUAAGCGGGAAGCACGCUUCAAGAUGAGGUUUCCCACUGGUUAACCAGGUAAGGCCCCCAGCAGAUCACUGGGUACAUAGGCCGGAAGUCGAAGGCAGUAAUGUACGAAGCUGACCGGUACUAAUAGGCCGAGGGCUUGUCCUACA